RNAcentral lists this ribosomal RNA (393 nucleotides) under uncultured bacterium. Its description in RNAcentral is "partial 16S ribosomal RNA". It matches the Rfam family "Bacterial small subunit ribosomal RNA", at positions 523 to 918 of the family's 1533-position model. The record is from RNAcentral.
AUACGGAGGAUGCGAGCGUUAUCCGGAUUUAUUGGGUUUAAAGGGUGCGUAGGCGGGCUGUUAAGCGUGAGGUGAAAGCUCGGGGCUCAACCCCGGAACUGCCUCGCGAACUGGCGGUCCUGAAAGUCCGUGCCGUGGGAGGAAUGUGUGGUGUAGCGGUGAAAUGCAUAGAGAUCACACAGAACACCGAGUGCGAAGGCAUCUCACGAACGGAUGAUUGACGCUGAGGCACGAAAGCGUGGGGAUCAAACAGGAUUAGAUACCCUGGUAGUCCACGCAGUAAACGAUGAUAACUAACCGCUGGUGCGCCAGUAUCAGUGGCCAAGCGAAAGCGAUAAGUUAUCCACCUGGGGAGUACGACCGCAAGGUUGAAACUCAAAUGAAUUGACGGGG